UAAUUAAUUAAUUAAUUAAAUUAAAAAAAAAUAUUUUAAUAAAAACAAACAUUAUAUAAAAAAAGAAGAUUUAAAAAUAAUCCCUGCCAAACAUUAAAAAAAAUCCAUGACACCUUUUUUAAUUAUUUGAAUGCACCACUUGAGAAAGUAUUUAUUUAUAUCAUUAUAUUUAUCUCCAUUUUAUAUAUUUAUUUUUUUUCUUUUAAUUUUUUAUUAAAAUUUUAAUUUUAAUUUUUUAUUUUUUUAAUAAUGAUAAAAUUAGUAAUAAUUAUAAUUUAAAUAUAGUAACUCGGCAAAAUUAAUUUUCACCUGUUUAACAAAAACAUGGUUUUUUGAUUUUAAUUUAAAAUCAGGCCUGCCCGUUGAUUUAAAAAAUUGAAAGGCUGCGGUAUUUUAACUGUACGAAGGUAGCAUAAUCACUUGUCUUUUAAUUGAAGGCUAGAAUGAAUGGUUUGAUGAAAAAUUUUCUUUCUUUAUUUAAUUUUUUUGAAUUUAAUUUUUUAAUUAAAAAGUUGAGAUUUUUUUAUAGGACGAGAAGACCCUGUAGAAAUUUAUUUUUUAUAUAAAGUUUUUUUUUUAGUUUUUAAAAUAUUAUUUUAGAAUAAAAAAUUUUGUUGGGGUGACAGUAAAAUUUUUAUGACUUUUAUUUCAUUUUACAUUAAUUUAUGUUUUGAUCCAAUUUUAUUGAUUAAAAGAUUAAUUUACCUCAGGGAUAACAGCGUAAUUUUUUCGGAGAGUUCUUAUCGAUGAACAAGUUUGCGACCUCGAUGUUGAAUUAAGAUUAAUUUUGGGUGCAGUUUUUCAAAGUUUUGGUCUGUUCGACCAUUAAAUUCUUACAUGAUUUGAGUUCAAACCGGUGUGAGCCAGGUUGGUUUCUAUCCUUAUUUUUUUUAUAAUUUAGUACGAAAGGACCAUUUAUAACAAUAAUAAUUGUUUUUUAGAAUA
RNAcentral lists this ribosomal RNA (945 nucleotides) under Rhagovelia sp. 1 AC-2018. Its description in RNAcentral is "partial 16S ribosomal RNA". The stretch from base 712 to 870 matches the Rfam family "Archaeal large subunit ribosomal RNA", at positions 2542 to 2701 of the family's 2987-position model. The record is from RNAcentral. Lineage: Eukaryota; Metazoa; Arthropoda; Insecta; Hemiptera; Veliidae.